This 422-nucleotide ribosomal RNA is filed under the name uncultured bacterium. Its description in RNAcentral is "bacterial SSU rRNA". It matches the Rfam family "Bacterial small subunit ribosomal RNA", at positions 355 to 774 of the family's 1533-position model. The record is from RNAcentral.
UGAGGAAUAUUGGUCAAUGGGCGGGAGCCUGAACCAGCCAAGUCGCGUGAAGGAAGAAGGAUCUAUGGUUCGUAAACUUCUUUUGCAGGGGAAUAAAGUGCAGGACGUGUCCUGUUUUGUAUGUACCCUGAGAAUAAGGAUCGGCUAACUCCGUGCCAGCAGCCGCGGUAAUACGGAGGAUCCGAGCGUUAUCCGGAUUUAUUGGGUUUAAAGGGUGCGUAGGUGGUUUGAUAAGUCAGCGGUGAAAGUUUGCAGCUUAACUGUAAAAAUGCCGUUGAAACUGUCGGACUUGAGUGUAAAUGAGGUAGGCGGAAUGCGCGGUGUAGCGGUGAAAUGCAUAGAUAUCACGCAGAACUCCGAUUGCGAAGGCAGCUUACUAAGCUACAACUGACACUGAAGCACGAAAGCGUGGGGAUCAAACA